GAUGGUCCCAUAUAACACUCAAAUGCAAGUGUGCCAGCUAGGACCGUCCAACAUGAUGUCAGAAAUGUUCAGCGACCCCAAGGAGGAGGAAGAACUUUCUAUUACGCAGAAGAAGUGGAUCAUUAUGCAGACUUCUUCUGGACCCCGGCGAGUCCGGGUCACCAAUAAAAUUCAUUACUCAUACUGAACUUCUGAAGAAACACCACGAGUGCUGAGUUCCAGCUUCACCUGCUGUGAUGUCAGAUCUCUCAGUUGUUUUUGACUUUUAAAGACCCAUUAAAGAGUGAAGGGAUUGUGUCUGUGUUAUUCCAUGGUGUCUGUGGGACCUCGUAUCAUUUACAUUAAGUAGUAAUUUACUGUCAUGCUACUUAAUAAUGUAUACAUGUUUCUUUAUUAAUAGGUUUUAUAAUAACUCUAUUCAGAAUCUUUCUGGUAAUG
Long non-coding RNA from Pygocentrus nattereri (red-bellied piranha), 438 nucleotides. RefSeq lists it as uncharacterized. The record is from RefSeq and is a predicted model, not a curated record. The transcript has 3 exons. NCBI's taxonomy places the organism in Eukaryota, Metazoa, Chordata, Actinopteri, Characiformes, Serrasalmidae.